Molecule: non-coding RNA, 23 nt
Filed under: Cricetulus griseus (Chinese hamster)
Lineage: Eukaryota; Metazoa; Chordata; Mammalia; Rodentia; Cricetidae
Source: RNAcentral
CUGUAUCUACGGACCACGGAGCG